This is a long non-coding RNA of Anolis carolinensis (green anole), 3172 nucleotides long. RefSeq lists it as uncharacterized. The transcript has 2 exons. NCBI's taxonomy places the organism in Eukaryota, Metazoa, Chordata, Lepidosauria, Squamata, Anolidae. The record is from RefSeq and is a predicted model, not a curated record.
AGGAGGGGGGGUGUGACUGAAUGGGAGCGAAAAAGCCUCCUCGGGACGGCGCGGAGGCUGAACCCGGCUUGCUGAGCCUCUUCUCUCGGCUGGGCCCAGUUCCCCGAGCAGCCGGGGAGACCGAGACCCCCCCUCCCCCUCCGGCUGGCAGGUAUGAGUAACGCAUGGAGAGUGGCUGGAAGAAAAAUGUACACAGAUCAACUAUGGGGAACUCUUCUUGGAAGUGGCUUGGGAAACAAAGGCAUCUCAGGAACAACUGCAGCAACUUAAUGUUUGUUUUUUAUAUAAUACAGUUAUAAGAUGAAAUACUGCUAAAAAUGCCUUUAAUGGACCAGGGGAACAAAACAUGAGGAACCAGCACUAGUUGGCAGAGAAGACUAAAGACCUUAUACCACUCCAACUCCCAUGAUUUCAUAGCAUCAAGCCAUGACAGUUAAAGUGGUGUCAAACAGCAUUAAUUCUACAGUGUAGGUGCAUCCUUAAGUUUAAUUGGGGUCAAGAUCUCACACUGAUUUUGGUAGGUUUGCUCUAUGUUUUAUUAAGUUUGAAUCUAACCCAACAUGCAGGAACAUGGAAGACUAUUUUUAAACAAAUAAUAGUUCUGUCACUAGACUACAGAUGACAUCUUCUUUCCAUGUAUAAUGGGCAGAUUCUGGGCAGGUUGUUGGUUGGAGUUAGGGAUUAUGUAAGUUGUAAUUAUCAAUGUCACUCAUCUAAUCUUAGGAGAAUGAUGGAAUGUCUCAAUGUCGUUUUUUCUGAUGGCGGUACUGUAAAAUUUCAAUGGUGUAAUUUUAAAGAGAACCCUUUGCUCACAUUUAGUCAGAUUAUAGUAGGACAAAAAUCAGGGAGAUAAAUGAAUCAGUAAUAUGGUAAAGUAAUUUAUCAUGAAUAUGCAAAAAGCAGAACAAGUGAGGGAGGCAAUAUGGUAUCUUUCCUAGGAAUCACAUAUUUGAAAUGGUAGGAAGAAAGUUGCAUGUUAUCCUGGUCUCUUUUUAUUGUCUGAGUAUUCAAAACAAUAAUAAAUUUGUUUUGAAAAGAUUAUAUUACAUCUACUGGCUAAAGUUAGAGUAAUGGGAUGAAGUGUUCCUUAAAGUAAGAAAUAGAAAAGUUAAGCAAGACAGUGUUAAUUGGGCUGAAAAAUGUAUGUCUUUGCUGGACUGGAUCAGGUUACCUCUUUCUACCUCAUGCUUAUAAUUAAUGUAGCAAUGAAAAAGAGGAAAGGCAGGAGAGGAAAGGAAUGGAAAGAAGGAACUGAAAAUGAAAUGUAAGAUUGGCCAGCUCCUGUUUGAAAGCUCAGCUGUUGCUGAGAUAGAUAAACCGAUAUACUGAUGUGAUAGAAGGCAGUUUUCUGUAAGACCUUUGAGAGUAGAUUGUGCGUGUGUAAGGAAAAGUUCAAGAAGUUUGUGAGGGCUUAUUAAUUAAUUACUGUCAAUAAGAAAAAAAAUUCUCUCCUUACAAAAAAAUCUAGAAAUCACAAGUUAAAUUUCAAACUGUAAACACUGAAAACAGUGUAACAGAAUAAACAGAAUAAAUUGAAAUAAAGAAUAAAUACAAGCCAACAAAUCUGAGUCAAACUAUAGUCAGUGAACCCAAAAAGUUUUGGUCAUUGUCAAAGGUCAAUAGUCCAUUGAUUUUUUUUAAAAAUCAAGAAUGAUUAGAUAUAGGAUCAAGUUUGAAAAAGAAGGAUUAGCUUUUUUUUGUUUUUGUUUUGAUUAUGGACCUCAACAUUAAAUUAAAAAGCUGUAAGGGAAAAACGGAAAAAGUAUCUAUAGACAGGUCAUCAUAAUUCCAUUCAUACUUACAGAAGGUGAAAUAAGAAUGGAUUUCAAAAACUUUUCUUCCUUGGAGAUAUAUGUGGAAUUAUGUUGAUAGGGUUUGGGGAAGGGAAUUAAAACUUUAUAUCCUCCUCUCUUUAUAUUGUUCUUCCUAUCCCCCAAUAUUGCUUUCCAGACUUCUUAGACUGUUAAGAGUCUAAAUGGGGAGAUAGGGUGGGAUAUAAAUAAAGUUUUAUUAUUAUUGACACAAAGACAUAGUAUGACACAGCAAAUGAGAUAUAUAUGCUAAAUUUCAUAUCACAAAAUCACAAGUCUAUUAUUAUUUUAUUUUAUUAUGACACAGCAAACAAGAUAGAUAUGCUGGAUUUCAUAUCACAAAAUCACAAGUCAAACACUUCCCAAGUGUCUAGGACUGUGUGGUGUAUUUUCGGAUGAUGCGCGCAGAUCCCAGCAUGGUGGCCUUUUGCAGUUGGCAGAUCGUAAUUUUUUCAAUGUCUAUUGUUUCCAAAUGCCGGCUGAGAUCUUUUGGCACGGCACCCAGUGUGCCCAUCACCACCGGGACCACCUGCACUGGUUUCUGCCAGAGUCUUUGAAGUUCAAUCUUGAGGUCCUGAUAGCGGCUGAGUUUUUCCUGUUGUUUUUCGUCAAUGCGACUGUCACCUGGGAUGGUAACAUCAAUGAUCCAAACCCUUUUUUUUCCCACAACUGUGAUGUCUGGUGUGUUGUAUUUCAGAACUUUAUCAGUCUGGAUUCGGAAGUCCCACAGUAUCUUUGUGUGCUCAUUUUCCAAUACUUUUGCAGGUUUGUGAUCCCACCAGUUCUUUGCUGCUAUUAUUAUUAUUAUUAUUAUUAUUAUUAUUAUUAUUAUUAUUAUUAUUAAGUACUAUUCCAAACAAAUGUAUAAUUCUUUCCUGUGAACUUUUAAUAGAGGUAGGGUCAGUAAAAGCAGCCCGUUCUUAUAGCCUGCAACUUCAUUUAUGCCACUUCCACCCAACACACCAAGGGUCAAUUCUAGCAAAAAAUAAUAAUUUGAGUCUUGCUGUUCCUAGAGGUUUUGGUAGUGGUAGCUUUGCAGUUGCCAAGGUCAGGACCUUCUCCAACCCCUGCCCCCAGUCCCUAAGAUAAAGCAAAAAAAAAAAAGCAAAACUUGAAGUGGCUACAUGGUCACUUGUUUGUUUGUUUUUUGUUGCCUCCCUGCUUUCCUUGGAUUUACUAUAUAUAGGUUGUGCUGCCCUUAUUUUGAAAUCUGAAAUAUUCCAAAAUGGCAGAGUUAGUUAUGCAUUUGGUUCAAUGUAUACAGACUUUGUUUCACAAAAACAUUGUAAAAAUAUUGUGUAAACUUCAAGUUAUGUGUGUAAGGCAUAUAUGAAACAUAAAUAAAUGUUGUUUAGACUUGG